RNAcentral lists this ribosomal RNA (963 nucleotides) under uncultured bacterium. Its description in RNAcentral is "bacterial SSU rRNA". It matches the Rfam family "Bacterial small subunit ribosomal RNA", at positions 8 to 963 of the family's 1533-position model. The record is from RNAcentral.
AGAGUUUGAUCCUGGCUCAGGAUGAACGCUAGCGGCAGGCCUAAUACAUGCAAGUCGGACGGGAUUCAGGGAGUAGCUUGCUACAAACUGAUGAGAGUGGCGCACGGGUGCGUAACGCGUGAGCAACCUACCCAUAUCAGGGGGAUAGCCUCUCGAAAGAGAGAUUAACACCGCAUAACAUCAUUUACCGGCAUCGGUUUGUGAUCAAAUAUUUAUAGGAUAUGGAUGGGCUCGCGUGACAUUAGCUAGUUGGAGAGGUAACGGCUCACCAAGGCUACGAUGUCUAGGGGCUCUGAGAGGAGAAUCCCCCACACUGGUACUGAGACACGGACCAGACUCCUACGGGAGGCAGCAGUAAGGAAUAUUGGUCAAUGGAGGCAACUCUGAACCAGCCAUGCCGCGUGCAGGAUGACUGCCCUAUGGGUUGUAAACUGCUUUUGUCAGGGAAUAAACCUUUCUACGUGUAGAAAGCUGAAUGUACCUGAAGAAUAAGGAUCGGCUAACUCCGUGCCAGCAGCCGCGGUAAUACGGAGGAUCCAAGCGUUAUCCGGAUUUAUUGGGUUUAAAGGGUGCGUAGGCGGUCCUAUAAGUCAGUGGUGAAAGACGGCAGCUUAACUGUCGCAGUGCCUUUGAUACUGUAGGACUUGAAUCUAUUUGAAGUGGGCGGAAUAAGACAAGUAGCGGUGAAAUGCAUAGAUAUGUCUUAGAACUCCGAUUGCGAAGGCAGCUCACUAAGUUAGUAUUGACGCUGAUGCACGAAAGCGUGGGGAUCAAACAGGAUUAGAUACCCUGGUAGUCCACGCCCUAAACGAUGAUAACUCGAUGUUUGCGAUACACAGUAAGCGUCCAAGCGAAAGCGUUAAGUUAUCCACCUGGGGAGUACGGUCGCAAGAUUGAAACUCAAAGGAAUUGACGGGGGCCCGCACAAGCGGAGGAGCAUGUGGUUUAAUUCGAUGAUACGCG